GUUAAAAAUGUCAAUCACACAAGUACCAGAGUUCUGCGUGUGUAUGUGUGUGGGUAAAAUGUCUUGUUUCCAUCUUGUUUCCACUCAGACAUGUGGAGAUGUGGCAGAUGUGUCCUGUUUUUGUUUCAAGGUGAUAUUGGUGUUAGAAAAGGCCCUUGCUAGCUUUUGGUUUUGCAUUAGUACAUGGUUUAAGCAAUUACAUCUCCUUUUAUUUCUAUGAAGUCACACUUUUAACUAAAAUCUGGAGGAAAGAUGUUUUGUGCUAAGAAAGGACGUGUUUUUUUUUUUUUUUUUUUUUAGAAAAACUGGAAAUGGCAAUUUAUAGAUGUGGAUGAAUUAAUAAACACACAGCAACCUUUCAAAAUAAGAAAUUAGGUUGAGUAACCUCUUCUGUGUACGUAUGAUUCUGAGACUGUUAUUUUUAGUAAAAGAUAACAACUUAUUUUUAUCUUCCCCUCCGUUUCUUUCUCAGCACAUUUCUGCAGGUUAUGGAAAGCAUGUGUGGUUGAGGCAGAUAUGUUACUGGGAUUCAUUUAGGCAUGUAAGUGUUACUAAUCAGAUCCUGACUACUUUUGUUUUUCUUUUCUUCUUCCUUUCCUCUCUCAUUUUUUUUUUUCUCAUCGGUUUUGGUGGGAUGAUGCCAGCUUCCUUUUCCUCUCGCCAUGUCAGACCAUCUAUGGGAGCGAAGCAGACCAGGAAAAGCUCAUUAAAUGGCUAAGGAUAUUGAGGUUAUUCUGCCCAGUCAGAGCUGGUAAUAAAGGCUCAAAUACUGUGGAUCUGAGUGAGCAUGUAAAGAGUUACUUGCAGUUAAUCAUGUAUCCCAGAAUCCCUGUGCAGCCUUCCAUGGUGACCAACGUUCUGGUCUCAGUUUCACAGCUUGUUUCUAACUACUAGUCAGAAUCCAGAAUCCUUUUUUUGUGAGUCGGCCUCCUGGAACAGUCACUGGAAAUGACACCUGCGACGCAGCCGUGAUGGCUAUAAAAUGACAAAUUCGAAGAGGGGAAGGAGAAAAAGCGAGAAUGAGAGAAAAAGCAGGGGAAAAAAGUGUGUGACGGAGAGAGCAGGGUUUUCUCAGCGCUGGUAGGAGCAGAUGCAUUGCAAACGGAGAAGAGGAGGAGGCUGACUCGAUGAGACGAGCGAGAGAGAGACAAAAGACAGAGAAAGAGGGGGCCUCAUCAUAAAGAAUGUAAUACUGCCACUGUUGAACAUCAGCAGGGAGCUACAGGCAGAAGCCCUUCAGAGAAACUGUCCAGCUGCACCUGUGGGCAGGAGCUGAUGGGAUUAAUGUUUACACAUGGAAGCAAAAUGUCACAUACUUACUGCAGGCUUUCCCGUGAUUUUCAAGAGUACUGCCAUCAG
This is a long non-coding RNA of Cyprinus carpio (common carp), 1359 nucleotides long. RefSeq lists it as uncharacterized. NCBI's taxonomy places the organism in Eukaryota, Metazoa, Chordata, Actinopteri, Cypriniformes, Cyprinidae. The transcript has 4 exons. The record is from RefSeq and is a predicted model, not a curated record.